GGUUUGGGGUGAAAGGGGGCUUUUUUGGGUGGGGGGGGGGAGGCAACGGUGCCCAUUUCCAGUGGCCACUGGCCCCGCUCCAGCUCCUCCCGUUACAAAACGUGCCCUUGACCCGUCCCCGCGGCGCGUAAACAGCUCCCGAGGGGGGGUGACAUGGGGGGACGGGGACAAGGGACACGUCGUCUCCCUGCCCCCAGGCCCGGCCGGAGGGGGACAGAGGUGGCUGGGGGCGAGGGGGGGGGCCACAGGGCUCCAAAUUGUCCCCCAAAACCCAUCUCAGGGGUCCCAGGGCACCAAAUUGUCCCCAAAAACACAUCUGAGGGCUCCAGGAUGACCCCAAAACCACAUCCAAGGUGUCCCAGAGGGUCCAGGUUGUCCCCAAAAGCACAUCUGAGGGGUCUGGGUUGUCCCCAAAACCAUGUCCGAGGGGUCACAGAGCUCCAGAUUGUCCCCAAAAACCCAUCUCAGGGGUCCCAGGGCACCAAGUUGUCCCCAAAAACACAUCUGGUUUGGGGUGUCCCCAAAACCACAUCCGAGGUAUCCCAGAGGGUCCAGGUUGUCCCCAAAAGCACGUCCAAGGGGUCCCAAGGCUCCAGAUUGUCCCCAAAACCAUGUCCGAGGGGUCUGGGUUGUCUCCAAAAACUCACACAUGGGGUUACAGGGGUCCAGGUUGUCCCCAAAAUCAUGUCCGAGGGGUGGCAGGGCUUCAGGUUGUCCCCCAAAACCCAUCUGAGGGGUUAUAGGGGUCCAGUUUGUCCCCAAAAGCACGUCCGAGGGGUCACAGGGCUUCGGGUUGUCCCCCAAAACACAUCCAGGGGGUCCCAGGUUGUCCCCAAAACCACGUCCGAGGGGUCACAGGGCUUCGGGUUGUCCCCAGAAACACGUCCAAGGAGGUCACAGGGGCCCAGGGUGUCCCCCAAAAACCUGUCUGAGGAGUUACAGGGCUCCAGGUUGUCCCCAAAACCACGUCUGAGGUCACAGGGCUCCAGGGUGUCCCCAAAACCACGUCCAAGGCAUCACAGGUCUCCGAGAAGUCCCCAAAACCACAUCCGAGCUGUCACAGGACUCCAGGUUGUCACCAAAAGCCUGUCUGAGGCGUCCAGGUUGCCCCCAACACAUCCGAGGGGUCUGGGUUGUCCCCAAAAGCAUGUUCGAGGGGUCACAGGUCUCCAGGGUGUCCCCAAAAUCACAUCCAAGGGGUCGCAGAACUCCGGGUUGUCCCCAAAAAUCCAUCUGAGGGGUCACAGGGCUCCAGGGUGUCCCCCAAAAACACAUCCAAGGUGACACAGCAGUUCCAGGUUGUCCCCAAAACCACAUCCAAUGGGUCCAGAGUGUCCCCAAACCCACGUCCCAAGGCCCCCCACCGAGCCUCCCCCCUGCCCAGGGGCUGUCCGGCUCCAGUAGCUCCAGUUCAGGACUGGGAACAGCGAGACCAGAGUCCUUCAAGAAAAAUAAGGGGGCCACCAGCGUCCCCCGAGUGUCCCCAAGGGGCAGGGGACACUGUCCCUGUCCCUCCUCACCCCUGGGGGGGGGGGGGGGGGGGGAGAGGGGGGGGCUUCGAGUCGAUAAAAGCAGACGAUUAAAAUAAAUUAAAAGCUCACGGAGGGGCCCGGGGUGGG
Long non-coding RNA from Calidris pygmaea (Spoon-billed sandpiper), 1619 nucleotides. The record is from Ensembl. Lineage: Eukaryota; Metazoa; Chordata; Aves; Charadriiformes; Scolopacidae.